Molecule: ribosomal RNA, 414 nt
Filed under: uncultured microorganism
Description: bacterial SSU rRNA
Rfam family: Archaeal small subunit ribosomal RNA
Source: RNAcentral
CAGCCGCCGCGGUAAUACCGGCGGCCCGAGUGGCGGUCACUAUUAUUGGGCUUAAAGCGUCCGUAGCCGGGUUGGGAAGUCCUCCGGGAAAUCUGGCCGCUUAACGGUCAGAAUGCCGGAGGAUACUCCCAGCCUAGGGAGCGGGAGAGGCCGAGGGUAUUCCCGGAGUAGGGGUGAAAUCCUAUAAUCCCGGGAGGACCACCUGUGGCGCAGGCGCUCGGCUGGAACGCGUCCGACGGUGAGGGACGAAGGCCAGGGGAGCAAACCGGAGUAGAUACCCGGGUAGUCCUGGCUGUAAACGAUGCGGACUUUGUGUCGGACAAGCUAUGAGCUUGUCCGGUGCCGGAGGGAAACCGUUAAGUCCGCCGCCUGGGGAGUACGGCCGCAAGGCUGAAACUUAAAGGAAUUGGCGGG